UACGUUGGGUGCAAGCGUUGUUCGGAAUUAUUGGGCGUAAAGCGCGUGUAGGUGGCUAGUUAAGUCGGGUGUGAAAUCCCUGGGCUCAACCGAGGAAGUGCACUCGAUACUGGCUGGCUAGAAGAUAGUAGAGGAUGGUGGAAUUCCAAGUGUAGAGGUGAAAUUCGUAGAUAUUUGGAGGAAUACCGGCGGCGAAGGCGGCCAUCUGGGCUAUUCUUGACACUGAGACGCGAAAGCGUGGGGAGCAAACAGG
This 253-nucleotide ribosomal RNA is filed under the name uncultured bacterium. Its description in RNAcentral is "partial 16S ribosomal RNA". It matches the Rfam family "Bacterial small subunit ribosomal RNA", at positions 524 to 776 of the family's 1533-position model. The record is from RNAcentral.